CACAUUUGUAUUUUUUAUUUCUCUCUCUUUCCUCUCUCUACCCACACACACCACCUCUCUCCCUCUCCUCUCUCUACCCACACCACCAGCCCACCGCCCCACCAGCCCAGACCCUUAACCCACCACCUUACGACCACCGCCAAUCCACCGUCGGCAACGCAGUUGCAAGUGGAUGAGUGAAGAAAUCUUCAUAUCCCUGUUGAAGAUGCCUUCUAUGAUUGAAGAUGGGGAGUUUUAUUGGCUAUUUAUUGAUACUCCGCAUCUUCGUGGAGAAUCAAUUUCUUUAGUUGACUUUAACUAGUUGGGGACUGAGAAGUAGUUGAUCCAAGUUGAUGCGGGCGAUAACAGUUGCAUUUUUGUCAGCGGUCAGUGAUAUAGUGUCUCAGAAGAUUACUGGCAUUAAGAGACUUCAAAUUAGACGCCUUCUUCUUUGGAUAAUUUAUAAUAAGUAUCUGGAAAAGAAAUUCCAUAUUCAUCUUGUAGUCACUUAUCACAUCCUUUCUUUUUUCCCGUUAAUAGAUUAUUUUCAUUCUUGAUCAAUGAUGAUGGCGCAGUUGAUCCUAAGGAGUAUGAAGCUAUGAAGCAUCAAGUUGCUCAGCUAACAAGAACACUUAAUUCCUCGGAGGCUAGGAUGUUGGGUAUGCAAGCCCAAAUUAAUAGUUUAUGAUGGAUAUGUUUAAAUGGAUAUGUAUAUUAUCUUUAAGGGUUUGAAUGUAGUUUUAGUUCGAAUUAGAA
Lycium barbarum (goji berry) is the source of this 735-nucleotide long non-coding RNA. RefSeq lists it as uncharacterized. The transcript is spliced from 4 exons. The record is from RefSeq and is a predicted model, not a curated record. Lineage: Eukaryota; Viridiplantae; Streptophyta; Magnoliopsida; Solanales; Solanaceae.